Molecule: long non-coding RNA, 657 nt
Organism: Mytilus trossulus (common blue mussel)
Lineage: Eukaryota; Metazoa; Mollusca; Bivalvia; Mytilida; Mytilidae
Exons: 3
Source: RefSeq, a predicted model, not a curated record
ACAACAGGAUGUUCGGGGUUUGCUAAUUUACGGAAAAAGUAAUCUCACUUCGUACCCCGAAAAUUUAACCACAUAUGUGAAAAUGUCACAGCUUCGAAACAAGCUAUCAUACAUAUCCAAGUUAACGAUAUGGACUGAGCUACAGGAAAAAACGUUACCAUUACCGCCUAUGUAAAAAAAAUUAAAGAUUUUGACCCAAAUUAGAAGCUCAAUUCCAGAGGUUGUCAGACUGAUUUAUGGAUGAUUUCACCUUGUACACCACUGAAAAUGAUGUUCCGGACAUACACAAUGUAUCAUUAUUUUUCAACCUGAGAUGGCAAACUAGAGGUUUUAAAAAGUCCUGAAUAACUGAAAUGGACAAAAAUACAAAGAUUUAUUCAGAAUAUUAUACCGAUGAAGAUCACAUAAAAAUAUUUGGAAAAAUCAGAAGUAUGGAUUACAAUAUGGGACAACAUCCCUAAUGCGCCUUGAAAUGAGGAACUCAAAAGUCACGUGUAAAGAAAAAAUCUCUGUGUAGUGAUAUUGGACAUGUUUCUAUUUUUAGCAAAUGACUGAACUUAAUUAUUUGUGGUGAUUAGGAAAGUAGAGGAACAUAGAAUAAAUGUGUAAAAACUAUGGAGCUAUUGAAUGUGUUCAAAGUAUUAAAUUUUCAAAGAA